CCUACGGGCGGCAGCAGUGAGGAAUAUUGGUCAAUGGCCGUAAGGCUGAACCAGCCAAGUCGCGUGAAGGAAGAAGGAUCUAUGGUUUGUAAACUUCUUUUAUAGGGGAAUAAAGGUAUCCACGUGUGGAUAUUUGCAUGUACCCUAUGAAUAAGCAUCGGCUAACUCCGUGCCAGCAGCCGCGGUAAUACGGAGAAUGCGAGCGUUAUCCGGAUUUGUUGGGUUUAAAGGGAUCGUAGGUUGUUUGUUAAGUCAGCGGUGAAAGUUUGUGGCUCAACCAUAAAAUUGCCGUUGAAACUGGAAGUCUUGAGUGUGUUUGAGGGAGGCGGAAUGCGUGGUGUAGCGGUGAAAUGCAUAGAUAUCACGCAGAACUCCGAUUGCGAAGGCAGCUUACUAAGCCAUGACUGACACUGAAGCACGAAAGCGUGGGUAUCAAACAGGAUUAGAUACCCGGGUAGUC
Molecule: ribosomal RNA, 460 nt
Filed under: uncultured bacterium
Lineage: Bacteria
Description: partial 16S ribosomal RNA
Rfam family: Bacterial small subunit ribosomal RNA
Source: RNAcentral